UAAAUACAACUUAACGGUCGGCCCUCAUUUCAGUUACAUCCGUGUAUCGCACAAUCGCAAUGGAAUCUCUCUGCGUCGUAGCAGGAGAGCCCCUGAUUAAUUUCCAGUCAUACAAACGGAGGAGAUUAUACGACCUUAGGAAGAAAAGGAAUACCGAGAAAGCGACUCCAAAAUUGGAAGGCAUGAAGUUUAAGAGCACGUUAGUAGAACAGGUCGACGAGGAAAUCCUUGCAAAUUAACAGUCGAGAUGGGAGAAUUCCUCCAAAGGAAGAACGACACGUUGCUGUGUGCUCCGCGUUUUGUGAAAAAUUUUCUGAUUUAGUUUAUUUUGCCUGUGAAAAAUUUAUAUCUCACUCGUUAAUUAGAGUGCGGUGAACAAAGUGAGAUAAUAAUCAAUACUGGGGAUUGAUUAAUUACUCUGUAAUUAGUGAAAAAUGUGCUCAGUAGUUUUGUGGAGGUUAUGUUCGUUUUUGCGGAAAUGGCAUUUUAUAUUCUAUGGACGAACGGUGGAUUCAACUGAUAAGUUCAGUUGCAAGACGGAAGUGGAUUUGUAACUAGUCACGCUGUACUGUGAUUGGCUGUUGGAGUGGACAACAAUUUGUAGUGUAGGAGUGCAAAUUACUUAUUUUUCAACAGUUGGCGCAUAUAGGUCACUCUUAACCUCAAGUCUUAAAAGCGCGGGAAACGUACGGAACUUCAGGAACGGCUCUAGAGGCCUUGUCGCCCGUGAUGAAUUCCACUAAAAGUACAAGUCUCUACCGGUUUCAUUUUGGAUUUUGCGUGCGCCAACAGCUGUUCACGGUGCUUCACCGUCCUUCUAUUUACAGAUUUCGAGGGUGACCACUGUACGAAAAUUUCUCUUCGUGACAAAUAUGAAAAACAGCAUUUAUACCAAUAAUGAGAACAAGAGUAAGGCGUAAUUCUUAAGCAUAGUUUUGACGAACGCGGAGCAUGAAAUUACGACUAGUAAAUUUAUAUAGUGGAGAAAUAAAUUGAUUGACACGGUUGUUGGUCAUGCAGCUAAUGGAAGAUAAGUUGUUCUGUUUUAGAUUAUUAUUGCACAAUUUAUGGAGUCAUGGAUGAAUCAAUCUUUGUUUCGAUAAAAUAAAAGAAGUGAAAUCGAUUUAGAGUUUUAUUGUUAAUUUGCAUUCGUUUGUAUUUUGUGAUUUCAAUUAAAUUUUAAGAUGCAUGUGUAUUUGAAUAGAUUGUUAACAAAGCAGUCAUUAAGUCAGUGUUUGUUCGUAUAAAGUUUUAUUAAUGUUUGUUUUUUGUUUUUUUACAGGUCGAUAGACUAUACUUUAUAUGUGAAACAUCCAAUUGAAUUAAAUUUAUUGUCUGUCUCUUGAUCAUUAUAUCUGAUAAAUAAUUAUCGCGUAUUAAAGUCAAUGCACCAUGGAAGACGAUCAAGAAACUAGUAUAUUUCUUCUAUAGAACAAUGGUAUCAAUCUACUGCAACUUCAACCUACUUCAUUUUCAAUUUACUUUGAUGUAAAUCUAUCUUAUUUUUGACUUAUUACGAGUCAACCUACUCUAAUUUCAACCUACAAUAAGGAUGAAUGUUUUGGACCGUGGAAUUUCUUAAAUAAAGUCCGUUUUCCUAACGAGGAGUGAUAAGCCAUGGAUGCGCGGAUGGAAACGUUUAUUCUCGCAGGAACUUUCCUGUUGAAGAUGACUCACAUACCAGUAACUCAUUGACGACACGAUAUAGUUAAUUCAUAGUAGGUAUAAAAAUUGUCAAUGUAUAAUGUUCAUCCCUGGUUGAUAAACUUUCCUCUAAGUUGCAGACAUACAUUAUAUGCCAAUACAGUUUCUCUGAUAUCACUAUGUUAAUACCAUGGGACUUGAGAAAUAUAAAAAAUUUAGGGGUGUCCUAUUGUAUUGUCGCAAAAUGUAGUUGGCUUU
Molecule: long non-coding RNA, 1902 nt
Organism: Vespa velutina
Lineage: Eukaryota; Metazoa; Arthropoda; Insecta; Hymenoptera; Vespidae
Exons: 8
Source: RefSeq, a predicted model, not a curated record